RNAcentral lists this ribosomal RNA (483 nucleotides) under uncultured bacterium. RNAcentral's name for it is "partial 16S ribosomal RNA". It matches the Rfam family "Bacterial small subunit ribosomal RNA", at positions 30 to 506 of the family's 1533-position model. The record is from RNAcentral.
AUUGAACGCUGGCGGCAGGCCUAACACAUGCAAGUCGAGCGGAUGAAGGGAGCUUGCUCCUGGAUUCAGCGGCGGACGGGUGAGUAAUGCCUAGGAAUCUGCCUGGUAGUGGGGGAUAACGUCCGGAAACGGGCGCUAAUACCGCAUACGGCCUGAGGGAGAAAGUGGGGGAUCUUCGGACCUCACGCUAUCAGAUGAGCCUAGGUCGGAUUAGCUAGUUGGUGGGGUAAAGGCCUACCAAGGCGACGAUCCGUAACUGGUCUGAGAGGAUGAUCAGUCACACUGGAACUGAGACACGGUCCAGACUCCUACGGGAGGCAGCAGUGGGGAAUAUUGGACAAUGGGCGAAAGCCUGAUCCAGCCAUGCCGCGUGUGUGAAGAAGGUCUUCGGAUUGUAAAGCACUUUAAGUUGGGAGGAAGGGCAGUAAGUUAAUACCUUGCUGUUUUGACGUUACCAACAGAAUAAGCACCGGCUAACUUCGU